This 449-nucleotide ribosomal RNA is filed under the name uncultured bacterium. RNAcentral describes it as "partial 16S ribosomal RNA". It matches the Rfam family "Bacterial small subunit ribosomal RNA", at positions 329 to 792 of the family's 1533-position model. The record is from RNAcentral.
AACCAGACUCCUACGGGAGGCAGCAGUGGGGAAUAUUGCACAAUGGGCGAAAGCCUGAUGCAGCAACGCCGCGUGAAGGAAGAAGGGUUUCGGCUCGUAAACUUCUAUCAACAGGGACGAAAGAAAUGACGGUACCUGAAUAAGAAGCCCCGGCUAACUACGUGCCAGCAGCCGCGGUAAUACGUAGGGGGCAAGCGUUAUCCGGAUUUACUGGGUGUAAAGGGGGCGCAGACGGCAAUGCAAGCCAGGAGUGAAAGCCCGGGGCCCAACCCCGGGACUGCUCUUGGAACUGCAUGGCUGGAGUACAGGAGGGGCAGGCGGAAUUCCUAGUGUAGCGGUGGAAUGCGUAGAUAUUAGGAGGAACACCGGUGGCGAAGGCGGCCUGCUGGACUGUGACUGACGUUGAGGCCCGAAGGCGUGGGGAGCAAACAGGAUUAGAUACCCUAGUA